Nelumbo nucifera (sacred lotus) is the source of this 1998-nucleotide long non-coding RNA. RefSeq lists it as uncharacterized. The record is from RefSeq and is a predicted model, not a curated record. Lineage: Eukaryota; Viridiplantae; Streptophyta; Magnoliopsida; Proteales; Nelumbonaceae.
UCCCUUCCUGCGCCCUCUCUACCUCUCUCUCUCUCUCUCUCUCUCUCUCUCUCUCUCUUUGCUUCUCCCCACAAAAGAAGUCAAGACAGUCCUCUUCGUAUCCAAGGAUAUAAAGUGCUUUCUUCUUUGUUUGCCUAUAAAAAUUAAAAUCCCAGUUUCUUCUUCAUCUCUUUUUUACAUUUCAUAGUUAUAGAGAACAUAUUGUAGUAGAGAGAGGGGGAUUAUAGAUGCUUGGCAAGUGGUAAAAAUCGAUGCUCAAUAGCUGUAGUAGUAGCACAUGUAGGAAGGGGAAUGCAAUGGCUCUUCAUCAUUCUUCUGCAAAAGUUGUUCGAUGAGUCUAGCCAGAAUUAGGAGAGCAAUUAGUUUCAAAUGCAUUUUCUUUUUAAUUCUUACUAUUGGUGUUUUCUUUUCUUAUGUACUAUGGAUCCCUCCUUUUAAUCCGUUGAAAUCUGUUGUUGAUGCCUAUGUUGCACCUAACCUCAAUGGUACGUAUGUUUGUCUCCUGCCCCUUGUUCUCUGCUUAGUAGUUGGUGCAUAUUUUUGUUAGAACUCAUUCAACCAAGAGUUCAUAGUGGAGUAAUGCCUAGAGCUAGCUGCUGAAAUAGCAAGUUGUUUUUAGAAGCCCACAUGAGAGAGGGAGUGCAUGGUUUCAGAUUUAAUGGUUUGUAAAACAGAGGUUGAUGGAGCCUCUGGUUUCCUUAACCAUGAAGGAAGGCCCCCAACUAGGCGGUUUGGGCUCUAUAAAUAGAACCCCAUACACACGCACUAGCCAUCCAUUGGUUGAGAGAAACCAUGACUAGAGAGAAGAGUCUCCCUUGUGCUCUGUUUCCGGUUUUGUAGUUCAACAAGGAUAACACUGUUCUUUGGUUUGGUUUCUUGUAGAGAAGAGUAGAGGAGAAGAUGACAAAGCCAAAGAGGUGUUUCUAAAGGUCUCUAACACUGGAAUAGAGCCAUGAACACUAGCUUUAAAUCAAUAGCUCAAGAUAAAAUUCAUUGAUAAUACAGAUGUCAUUGGAAUUGAUCAUCAAAUUGCACAUCUUGGAUUUGAGUUGCCUUCAACAUUUGUUAUAGUGAUUUCCAAGAUUGUAGUGAUUCACUGAUUCAGUCUCCUGACUACGAGAGGACAGAUCAGGUCAGGGAUGGAUACAAUGACUUCAAUACAUUCUACAUGCAAGUAAGUAGCUGAUUUGAUAAGAGGAAGUGACAUAAUGUUACGGUUCUGCUAAUAAAUAAAAAUGAUGUAUUAGUACACCUUGUUUGGAUUAUUCUUAAUAAAUCAUUCUAGGUCUCAACAUCUGGGGUUAUUGAGCAAAUUAUUAUUAUUAGCUUAAAUUUCUUAUUCAACUUCAAAUGGUAACUGAACUCUUCAUUCUAAAGAACGCAUGUGGAUGCACUCUGUUUCUAACCCGGUACCCUACAAUUGGAAGUUUGUUUGAGGUAUUCAUUCAAAACAAAUUUGUAUGAUUCAGGUAUAUGACCCUCUCUCUGUCUCAAAAAAAAAAAUGUAGUAUCUUGCAAACUGAUAUAACUUUAGUAUGUUCAUUCUUUUUCUAACUGAGGAAAUAUCAUGUACUGCAAUAUUUUAAAAAUUAUAUUGCAUUACUUUAUUAUGGCAGAAAAUUUUGUUGGAGGAGCAAGUGGAGAAAGAUGGACCUGCAUUUGUGCUGCUGAGGGAUUUCCCACAACAACAGUUGCUAUUUAUGAUUUUACUUGUUUCACAGCUUGCAACUGCACAUCUGAUUUGAGUACAAAACUGGAGCUGGGACAGUGUUGCAGAGACUAUACUCAAACCUCCCAAACAUUCAAAUGGGUCUUGUUGAGGACAAGAGGAGUUGGACUGUUGAGGUUGAUAGAGCCUUCUCUUGAUUUGAUAAUAAAAAGAGAACAAGAGAAAAAUGAAAAAUGUGGUUCACAUAUACAGAAUGUAAAGGUUAACAUUGUUGUCUUUUACUUUUAUCUUAUGAAUGUAUUGUUUAAACAUAAGUGAAAUUAUCAAUU